ACCUAUAGCAUACACUAUCAGAAUGUGCACAGAUUUGAGCACAACAUCAGAGUGCCCACAAUUGAGGCAUACUGAACAUUUGACAUGAGCUCCUUUAUUUAUUAACAUGAGGACUUGAGAUUUAACAAUUUAUAGUGCAAAUUAAACCUACUCAACAAACACAUACUAAAUGUAGGCUUUGAAACCAACCAAAUAUGCCUCUAUAUCUAUCACGAAGAAUCUCAAUCCCUAAACCAGAAUGGGAGCCUUACUUAGAUUCUUUACCCAAAGUGACAUGACAGCAUGUAAUGUCUCAAACAAUUGGUCAAUGUCUAUGACUGCUAAUUCAAUAUCAUAAAAAAUGUAAAACAUCCGAAA
RNAcentral lists this long non-coding RNA (357 nucleotides) under Durio zibethinus. RNAcentral describes it as "long non-coding RNA (DZIB_LNC000084)". The record is from RNAcentral. Lineage: Eukaryota; Viridiplantae; Streptophyta; Magnoliopsida; Malvales; Malvaceae.